This 253-nucleotide ribosomal RNA is filed under the name uncultured bacterium. Its description in RNAcentral is "partial 16S ribosomal RNA". It matches the Rfam family "Bacterial small subunit ribosomal RNA", at positions 524 to 776 of the family's 1533-position model. The record is from RNAcentral.
UACGGAGGGUGCAAGCGUUAAUCGGAAUUACUGGGCGUAAAGCGUGCGCAGGCGGUUCGUUAUGUCCGAUGUGAAAGCCCCGAGCUCAACUUGGGAAUGGCAUUGGAAACUGGCGGGCUGGAGUGUGGCAGAGGGGGGUGGAAUUCCACGUGUAGCAGUGAAAUGCGUAGAGAUGUGGAGGAACACCGAUGGCGAAGGCAGCCCCCUGGGCCAACACUGACGCUCAGGCACGAAAGCGUGGGGAGCAAACAGG